This 1431-nucleotide long non-coding RNA is filed under the name Homo sapiens (human). Its description in RNAcentral is "HSALNT0342367". The record is from RNAcentral. Lineage: Eukaryota; Metazoa; Chordata; Mammalia; Primates; Hominidae.
CCUGACAUAUUCUUCGUAUUUAUUUAUUUUAUUAUUUUUUUGAAACAUUUUUACAUGUUUAUUUAUCAAAAGUGAAAAAGCAUACAAUUCAACACAAUUUCAAUAGCAUUUGACACCACCCCUGUGGAUCCUGUACAUGGCUGACGUCACCGUCCAGUGCAAAAUCAAAAAAGAAAGAAAGAAAAACCCCAAAGAAAGAGGAUUUUUCAGUGGAGAACAUGGUGGGCUGAUUAGGCUUCUAUUAGAUUACAUUCAUUUCACAUCUGUGUGCAAUUCUCCCAUAAAUUGGUCUUUAAAAUAUAUAUAUAUAUUUAAAGAUAUUAGAAAUAUAUAUUUAAGUAUAUUUAAAAUAUAUAUAUUUUUAAAGAGACGGGGGUCUUGGUAUGUUGCCCAGGCUGGUCUUGAACUCCUGGGCUCAAGCAAUCCUCCCGCCUUGGCCUCCCAAAGUGCAUUACAUCCAUCUUUGUGCCCUACCCUCUGGCUGGUAGGUUUUCAGAAAUAUUAUCUAAGGUAGUUGAAUCCGAGCUGCCUGUCUCUCUCACCCACCCCCCCCUCACGUGUCCACUGCUCACACACAGCAGCCGGAAAUGACACAUUGAAGUGAGUCACCAAUGCGGCUGUGAGUCACCCUGUAAUUGGGGAAAGUUCUGUCCUGGUAGGUCAUGCAGCCCCUUGCAUUUCUGCUCCUAAAUCUAUUGAACACAUUGGAAACCACUCUGUCCUCAUCUGAGUCUCUGUCCCCCCACUCCGUCCUUUUGAUCCCCUGAAGGAGGAUGAAAUUGUAUGGUCAAUUUCCAUCAAGGGGAAAAAGAGGGGCGCGGGGGGCGCGAGGGUCUCAGGCGGCCACAAGGUGGCAGUGUGGGCUCCGUCACGCUGGAUGUCCGGAGGGGUGUGUGCCAGUCAAGUGGCUGGACUUCCUGAGAUACGGUGACACAGACCACAAAGAAACACUAGGAGCGAGUUUAAAUAAUAUUAUUUUCCUUAGUAGUUCUCUUUCUCUCUAACAAGCACUCAAGGGCAAGGAUAUGAUAAAUAUUUAGGUACACCCCUCCCCACCAAGAGAUUGGGGGGGGUGGCCAGUGCCACAGUGGACUCUGAGAUGAAAGGGUGUUUCUUCCACUGGCCUUUGGCCUGUCACCAGCCUCCUCCGCGGUGGCAGGCAGUACAAGAGUGAUGGCAAUGUGACUGGAACAGAAAUAGUUUCUACCAGGCACACAAAAACCUUAAGGGAGUUGUGCUUCAAACUUCUCUCCCAGGGUCUCAGGUGGAGACUAGGGAGUUUGACCUAAAGGUCCUCCAAGGAGAGGCCAAGGUCUUGGAGACAGAUCUGGUUUACCAUCUUUUAACAAAAGGCAAAUGUCUUCUCUUCCUUCAGAAAGAGUCAUUAACACUAAAAUUCUUUUCUUCGGAGUUUCUUCUUUCCCGAUGCAU